GAAUAAGAGAUGUGAAAAUCCACGGUAUUUUUACCUCUGCCCCCUCCAUUUCACAUCUCUUAUUCUCCUUUGCCUCUUAACCCUCUCUCUCCCUCUCUGUGUCUUUGUAGAACCCUAAAGCUCCAGCUAUUCUGUACUGUACUGUUCUCCAAAUGGGUAUUCAUGGACCUCUGUUUAUGAUUGUAGCUGUUUUAGCUUUAGCUCCAUGUUUCGCCUCUGCUGGAGAUAUAGUACAUCACGACGAUGUAGCUCCCAAGAGGCCUGGUUGCGAAAAUAACUUUGUUCUGGUAAAAGUCCCUGCUUGGGUUGAUGGUGUGGAAGAUAUAGAGUAUGUUGGUGUUGGUGCUCGAUUUGGUCUUACUUUGGAAUCAAAAGAAAAACAUGCCAAUAAAACUAGACUCGUUUUGGCAGACCCACCUGAUCUUUGCAGACCACCCAAAAAUAAGCUCAACGGAGAUGUCAUUCUGGCGCACCGAGGUAAUUGCAGCUUCACAACCAAGUCAAAUAUUGCUGAAGACGCUAAUGCUUCAGCUAUUCUUAUAAUAAACUAUCGAACAGAACUUUUUAAAAUGGUUUGUGAAGCAAAUGAAACUGAUGUAAGAAUAGGCAUUCCUGCUGUCAUGCUUCCACAGGAUGCUGGUGCAAGCUUGGAAAAUUAUAUAAAGAAUAGCUCUGCAGUUUCUGUGCAGCUAUAUUCUCCACAGCGGCCACUUGUUGAUGUUGCAGAAGUGUUUUUGUGGCUCAUGGCUGUUGGUACCAUCUUAGGUGCUUCUUAUUGGUCUGCGUGGAGUGCCAGAGAAGUGGCUAUCGAGCAGGACAAGCUUUUAAAGGAUGGUUCAGAUGAUUUUACACACACAGAAGGUGUUACAUCUAGUGGUGUUGUUAACAUCAACACAACAUCUGCUAUUCUCUUUGUUGUGAUUGCUUCAUGUUUCUUGGUCAUGCUUUACAAACUU
RNAcentral lists this unclassified non-coding RNA (956 nucleotides) under Hevea brasiliensis (rubber tree). Lineage: Eukaryota; Viridiplantae; Streptophyta; Magnoliopsida; Malpighiales; Euphorbiaceae. The record is from RNAcentral.